RNA transcript from Eptesicus fuscus (big brown bat), 2330 nucleotides. It is a transcript of the gene named centrosomal protein 70, with no coding region annotated. NCBI's taxonomy places the organism in Eukaryota, Metazoa, Chordata, Mammalia, Chiroptera, Vespertilionidae. The record is from RefSeq and is a predicted model, not a curated record. The transcript is spliced from 21 exons.
CGGAGGCGGGGCCCCAGGCGGCGGAGCCGGCCCAGCUGGGCGCGCUGCUGGUGGGAGACGGGCGGCCGCGGAAGAUGAAGAUCCAGUUUCGAACGUGAGAUUCACUGGGUGAUCAUUUCAUUGAAAUCAACUUGAAUGACCAGAUAAAAAGUGCAAGAGGAAUGUGCUGUGACUGAGAUAUUGUAUUUUUUACAAAUUGAAAAUAAGACCCUUUAUCAGCAAAAAGAUUACAACUCUCUGAAGGCUCAGAUGAUGUGCUACAAGAGCAUAUAACAAGAGAACCUGAUCUAGUCAUGGAAUCAGGGGAGAUUUCCCUGAAGAAGGAAAUUUGAGCUGACAUCAGAAGGCAACUCAAAAUUUUUCACUGCCAGUCUCUACUUCUUUGGUUCUGCAAAGGAAAAGUAUAUCUCCAGCAGCCCCUAAAGCCCAGCAGUCCAGUAAAUCAUCAAACAGACUCAUGACUGAAAAACAGCAGGAAGAAGCAGAAUGGGAGAGCAUAAAUGUGCUGUUGAUGACGCAUGGCUUAAAACCUUUAGUUCUAGUCAAAAGAACAGAUCUUAAAGAUCUCAUCGUUUUUGACAGACGGUCAUCACAAAGGAUGAGACAGAACUUGAAAACGUUGGUGGAAGAAACAGAGCGUCAACAGAACGUGAUCCAGGAGCUCAUAGAAACUAAUCAGCAGCUUAAAAAAGAAGUUCAGCUAGAAAAAUGCCGAGCAGUAGAUCAGGAACAACGAGCUAAUGACUUGGAACAAAUAAUGGAGAGUGUGAAAUCCAAAAUUGGUGAAUUGGAGGAUGAAUCCCUAAAUAGAGUUUGCCAGCAGCAGAAUAAAAUAAAAGAUCUUCAAAAGGAGCAUAAAGCUUUACAGGCAAAAUGUCAGCAUUACAAGAGAAAACAAAUGGAGCAACAAGAGACUAUUGCUUUUUUGCAAAAGGAUAUCUGUAGAUUAACAAAGGAGGAGGAAGAGCGCAUUGUCACUCAAAACAGAGUAUUUUCUUAUCUCUGCAAAAGAGUUCCUCAUACCAUCUUGGAUAGACAGUUACUUUGCCUAAUUGACUACUAUGAAUCUAAAAUUAGAAAACUUCAUAAACAAAGGCAAUAUAAAGAAGAUGAAAGUCAGUCAGAAGAAGACGACUACAGCAGUCUUGAUGCCUCACCAACUUAUAAAGGCCUUCUACUGUCAUUACAGAAUCAACUGAAGGAAUCAAAAUUUAAGAUUGAUGCACUUUUAAGUGAAAAGCUGAAUCUCCAAAAAGAUUUGGAAACCAGGCCCACACAGCAUGAAUUAAUACUUUAUAAACAGCAGGUGAAGAAACUGGAGAAAGCCCUAAAGAAAAGCAUCAAAUUACAUGAUUGUCUCAGUCAAAACAAGACUGAGGACACAGAGAAAAAAGAUGAUCCCAGCAAAGAUAACCAGCGGCAGGCCCUAAUUGACCAGAGAUACUUUCAGGUACUGAGUAGCAUCAAUUCAAUUAUUCACAACCCAAGAGCUCCAGUAAUACUUUAUAAACAGAGCAAAGGAGGAGUCCAACAUUUUAAUAAAGAUUUUGGUCAAGAUUGUGAAUUUGAGCAUCUUGUUCCUAUCCUAGAAAUGUGGGCAGAUCAACUGACUUCCCUGAAGGAUUUGUAUAAGUCCUUGAAAAUACUAUCUGCAGAAUUGGUGCCUUGGCAUAAUUUAAAGAAGCAGGAUGAAAAGGAAGGUAUCAUAGUUGAAGAUCUGUUGUUUAUGGUAGAUACCAUGUUGGAAGAAGUUGAAAAUAAGGAAAAGGACAGCAACAUACCAAACUUUAAAACUUUGCAAGCUAUUGUUUCUCAUUUCCAAAAAUUAUUUGAUGUGCCUUCUUUAAAUGGAGUCUAUCCCCGAAUGAAUGAAGUUUAUACUAGACUUGGAGAAUUGAACAGUGCUGUGAGAAACCUCCAAGAACUCUUAGAAUUAGAUAGUUCAUCCUCAUUGUGUGUGCUGGUAAGCACAGUUGGAAAAUUGUGUAGGCUGAUUAAUGAGGAUAUGAAUGAACAGGUUAUGCAGGUAUUGGGACCUGAAGACCUCCAAAGCAUUAUCAUCAAAUUGCAAGAACACGAGGAAUUUUUUCCAGCGUUUCAGGCAUUCACUAAUGAUCUACUUGAAAUCUUAGAUGUCAAAGUAAGCACCUAUAACUACAGAGUGAUGUACUGAAUAUCAGAUAUGGAGGUCUUUCUUCCGAAUUUCAUAUAAGCGGAGAAAAUUCUCAUAUUAGCCAAGAUUCUUCUCAUUUAUCAGAAAUUGAUAACUUGGAUGCCAUUGUACCUGCAGUAAAGAAAUUAAAAGUACUUUCAUACUGAAAACAAAUCAU